RNAcentral lists this ribosomal RNA (535 nucleotides) under uncultured bacterium. RNAcentral describes it as "bacterial SSU rRNA". The stretch from base 65 to 441 matches the Rfam family "Bacterial small subunit ribosomal RNA", at positions 46 to 392 of the family's 1533-position model. The record is from RNAcentral.
CGUACUCCGAAUGCUUCGAUGCUNGUAUUGAUCAUGGCUCAGAUAUGACCCGCNGGCGUNUAGUGCCUAACACAUGCAAGUCGAGCGGAUGAGUGGAGCUUGCUCCAUGAUAUCAGCGGCGUGACGGGUGAGUAAUGCCUAGGAAUCUGCCUGGUAGUGGGGGACAACGUUCGAAAGGAACGCUAAUACCUGCAUACGUACCUACGUGUGAGAAAGCAGGGUGACCUUAGUGGCCUAUGCGCUAUACAGAUGAGCCUAGUGUCUGGAUUAGCUAGUAUGUGUGUGUGUGUAAAGUGNCUACCAAUGNGCUGACGAUCCUGUAACUGGUACUGAGAGUGAUGAUCAGUCACACUGGAACUUGAGACACGGUACCAGACUACCUACGUGGAGUGCAGCAGUGGGGAAUAUAUGGACAAUNGGGCGAACAGCCUAGAUACCAGCCAUAGCCGCGUAGUAGUAGAAGAAGGUACUAACGGAUAAGAAAAGGCACUAUUAAAGUAUUGGGAGGAAGGGCAGUAAGUAAAAAUAACCUAUA